This 8797-nucleotide long non-coding RNA is filed under the name Zea mays. RNAcentral describes it as "long non-coding RNA (ZMAY_LNC000959)". The record is from RNAcentral. Lineage: Eukaryota; Viridiplantae; Streptophyta; Magnoliopsida; Poales; Poaceae.
CCUCUCCCAUCUUCUUCCUCCUCAAACCUUUGCAGCCCUCACCACCCAAAACCCUAGCUGCCCCCCCCCCCCCCAUUUCUCCCCCUCCUCCCAAUGUGCAGCCCUCCCGUGUGGUUCUCCGUCGUGUGGCUGCGAUCUCAAUUGGAGUUUGGAGGGAGGAAGAAGGAAGGAGGAAGGGAAGAACCUAAGGUGAAUUUGUGAUUAACUUUUGUUGUUUUUGUGCUGCAAUCAAUUGGAUUAUGUGUUUAUCUUUGCGAAUCGGUAGAGGUGCUGUCCAGGAAUUUUGUGAGUGGGUGAACAGCAGUAGUUCUAGGGAUUUCUGGGAAUUUUCGUGGGGUAAUUAGUGGGAAUCAGUGGGAUAAUCAUGUAGAGCUUUGUCAUACCUUUCCAACGAGUACUUAUGCGCUCGAUUCGGAGUUAUAAUUUAGGAGAUAUCGUUGUUUGAAUCCGGGUAUGUUGCUGUCCAAAAAAAAAGAUUUUUCAGGUGGGUGAACAGCAGUAGUAUUAGCAGUUUCUGGGAAUUUUUCGUGGGUAAUUAGUAUUAACCAGUAUUAUAAUCAUGUAGGGCUUUGUCUUAUCUUUCCAAUGAGUACUUAUGUGCUUGAUUUGGAAUUAUAUUUUAAAAGAUAUCGCUGUUUGAAUCCGGGUAUGUUGCUGUAAAAAAAACAGAUUUUUCAGGUGGGUGAACAGCAGUAGUAUUAGCAAUUUCUGGGAAUUUUUCGUGGUUAAUUAGUGCUAACCAGUAUGAUAAUCAUGUAUGGCUUUGUCUUAUCUUUCCAAUGAGUACUUAUGCGCUUGAAUUGGAAUUAUAUUUUAAAAGAUAUCGCUGUUUGAAUCCGGGUAUGUCGCUGUCCAAAAGAGAAAAAAAAAACAGAUUACAGGGUUCAUCUUGUGAACUGUUUUGGGCUAAUUAGAUGUUGGAAUUUAAUUAUAAAUUGUAUACAAAACUUGUGGGGAAUUUUAUGUAGAUGCCUCGGGAGUUUUUGUUUGUUACCAAUGCUGUCAUAAUUUUGAAGUUAUGAAAUUAUUAAGCAGCGCCGCUGCAGUUUGGUGGGUGUGGGGAGAGAUGUAACCCGCGGCGGGGUUUGAGUUUGUGCGUAGGUGCGGCGUCGUUUAUGAGCCUGGUUAUGUGAAAUUGGUGCACUAAGUUGUGUGUCAAAAACAGGUGGUGGACUACCGGAUCGUACUUAGGAAUUUGCCCAAACUUCCGGUAAAGGCAAGUAAAUACAGUGGUGGUUGCUACCGUUUGGUUUGCAUCCUAUUCCCUGUCAUUGAGUAUGCAUAAGUUUUAAAUAUGUUAAUCAUUGAAUUCUAUGAUGAAGUUUAUUUGUUCGAAAGUAUUAAUUCUCAAUUGUCUAAUAUUGUGGAUGAUCAUGAUUUGGUAAUGAUAUAUGUGGUUGAUUCCUAUCAUGGAUGGAGUUGAAGUAUUUUUUUUGAAUCACGCUAUAUGAAGUGUUGUAGGCAUGUCAUGCACAUUGCAUCAUCCAUCUUGCAUUCUGAAGUUAUGUCGUGAUCUUAUGGUCCGACUGUACCGGUACAUUUUUAGCAUCGUACGUUGCCCGAGGAGGGGUACGAUGCGGCUUCAUAUCCUUAGAGGUAUGAAGGCAGAAGUCAUCCUUGCAUUUGCAGACAUUUGCACUCAUGAGGUAUAUAUAUGAAGAGUGACAUUACUAUGUUACUAUUGUGGUUUCUACCUGCGAGGUGUGGUAGCUAGGAGUGUUGUACGUUGUAUACGUGCUGCACCUUUGUAAUAAGAAGGUUGUGAAAUCAAGUGGUGGUAAAACAAUAUUCUUAUGUGGUUAAACAGUUUGAUAUUAUUUUACUUGUUGAGAUGUGUCAUCUCACUCUUGCAUUACUCAAUGCAGGUACUUGAUACAUGUUGGGAAUGAGGGGAGUAGCAGCACGUCCACUUUCACUCUCAUAAUAGCGCUGCCCAGGCGUAGCCAUGAUUUAAUUAGAAACUUGUUGUCAAAAGAAGUUUAUUUUUUUGCUAGUCGUGCGCACUGGUUAAUUCAAUUCAUGUCGUAUGUUUAACUUCCCUUUGCUAGCCGAUUAAUAAUACUUGGUAUGUUUUGUCAUGAUAUAUGUUUAUACACUGUUGUCCCCCCCUCAUUUAUGCAAUUUUGCAAAGGAGAUGCUGCCAAAAUUUUAUAUAGAUGUCAGAAGUGUAGUUCAGUAGCAUUUCGGGGUGUUUGUGGACCCCGGGGUGUUACAGUUGGUAUCAAAGGAUAGGCUUUAGAUUCUACGCAAUUUGAAGAUAAAUUUGACACACUUGCACAUAUAGGAAGGGUAUGGGUUCGUAUAUCUUUCAUAUUAGUAUUUUAUUGUAUAGAUGACUAGAACUUCCUUACUCCAAAUUCCUUUAUGGUUUGAUGGGGUACGUCAUUAAUGACGUAAUGCUUGAUAUGAUAUGUUAUUUCUAUUUAAUAUUGGUUUCUUGAUGUGGUUGUUAUUGAAGAUAUUAUGCAAGUGAAGCUACUACUGUACUUGUUUUAUAUACAUAUUGUCAUGAUGUUUUUUUGAUGCAAUGUUUUCAAAUCUCUGAGCUAUUACUAUCAUAUAUUUCUAUAUGCUUGACUGUGGAUGUUUUUUUCCAAAAGGAUUCUUGGGUUCUAGUACUUGUAGGACCGAUUGUUUAUUGAGCUUGUCUAUAGUGGGUCUAAUCCGACUUGGUGUAGUGUGAAAACACUAUAUAAUGUAGUUUUAUGGUGUUGUUGAGUUUGAUUGACUGUUGGGUUACAACCCAACUUAUCAAUGUAAUAUUUCCAUGGGUGCAAUGCUUUGCACCUCACUUUUUUGGCUAGUGUGGCUACUUGCUAACUUGAUCUUAGUAUAAAAUUGGUUUGUCUCUAUAGAGCAAAGGCAACAUUGUAAUGUCUAUGAAAUCUUGAGACUGGUAGAACUCAAGUGAAUUUGUAAGAUGACGUAGAUUGAUAAGUCCAACCAUGUUUACCUGAUAGGUUUUCUUAUUAUGUGCAACCUUAUUUUUUUAACAAUAAAUAGGGUGGUUUCAAGUGGAUUUUAUGUCGUGCAUGUUUUCCUUCUAUGGUUUGUUUCAAUAGCCAUAAAGGCUAUGCAUAAUUUUUAGUUGUUGCAGGCUAGUCAUGUGGACGAUAUUGACAACCCAUUUUAUUUUUUUUAUUUGCCAACAUUGUAUGGUAGUUUGAUUUUUUUUUAUGAUCAGUUUCUCUAUGCAUGCUUGUUGAAUCAUUAUUUGGACCGCUUUAUCUUAAACGAAGUCAAUGCUUAACUGGGAGUUGCUUAUGUUUGUUAGUCAUCUAUCUCUUUAAUGAUGGGGUUGUUGCAUCAGAUUGAGAUUUUUCUUAUUUGAAUGAUGGUUUGAUAGAUCAUGUAUGUCUACUACUUUGAAUGCAUCCUGUGAUAUCACGAGGUACAAAUUGUUCAAGUGCAGUAAUAGUAGGUUUUGUUGUAUGUGAGGUUAAUCAAGGUAGUUUGGUUAUGUGGAUUGUCUUAUUGACAUCCAAUUACUCCUGAGGAGCAUAGUAUCGUGUUGCUAUUUUAGUAUUGAAAGUAAUAUUUAUGAAGCUUUUGCAUGAGUCUGUAUCAAGAAGUAUAUUAGUUUUUCUUGUUGUUAUCCCUCCAUUGCUUUAUGAGUAUUGCAAAUUUUAUCUCUUUUGAGAGGAGGAAAAGACGUUACAUGACAUGAGCACCAUUUGCUUCACGUCAACAGAAUAGUUGUGGAGAGCUCUAAUAGUUGGAUUCUAGUGUAAUAACAACCAUGUCUUAUAGUGCUAGAGACGGGUAUGUCAGGUGUUUCAUACAUUGUCGAUACAUGGAUGUUUGACCUUAGUGGCAUUAACAAACGAGGUUGUUUAAUUCGUUGAUUGUUGUGCUUAGUGUUCUAACCUAUUAGGUAAAGUGUUGCUUAAAGGCUUUAGGGAGUUGCAUCCCCAUUUGGUAGUGGAAAAUCCUAGUGUUGAUCGCACCUGCCAAUGCCUUGGGUUUUAUUUUAUAUUGUUUUUUUAUUAUGGGUAAGGUGUUGUUUGGUUUUGGGAGUCAUUUUAAAUUAGUUGGAGGCUGAAUCAGGCUUCACUUAUCUAAAAUGUUUUGUAGUAGGCUUCUUCAUCUUUGCAUAGGAUGCUCAAUCACCCAGUUUGGUCUAAUCAUUGGAGAGUUAUGGGUUUCCUAUAGCAGCCUUAAUUUUGUACGGAAGUAUAGACAUUGAAGACGGUAAAUUUUGGUUUUUGUUGGAUUAUGAAAGUUUUAGUAAUUUCAUGAUCUUUCCAAAGAUUAUUGGUUUGUAAUUUUCAUUGCAUAUAAUUGGAGUUAGGCUACUCUGAAGUUGUUACACCGUUGUGUCUGAACUUUAGGUGUCGUUAAAACCACCAAUAAAUCGACCGUGUUCUGAUAGUUUCAGAGCCCAAAUUUGGGAAUUCUCUUUAAGAAAAACUUUUAGUUUUUCUAAGUACCUUUUAAUGGGUAUUUACUUGUAAUUGCCUAUUAAAUAGAUUGGGAGAGGUGGUUGUCCGGAUAUAAGUCGAAUCUCUGAUGUGCAGUAUCUCAGGUUGAGUUUAGCUAUAGGUCAUGCAGAGUUGAGGGUUAUAAAGAUAAAUUUGGGUGCAACUUUAUUGCAAAAGUCGUGGACAAUUUCCAAACUUUUCCAACGCAUGUUCGUUGUAGUUUUAAGUUGAGUAUAGCAGGAGUUAUAGGAUUUUGAAUUUUAGUUGUCCAAUAUUUCUAUCCUAUCAGUUUUGCAACAAAGCAGUUGCAUUGUUUUAUCGGUUUGGAAACCAAUUCUGAGACACUCAUUAUAAUAAAAGUUUAGGGAAUGUUAUAACCUUUCCAAUGAGUUUGUAUUUUCAAAAUUUUGUUAGAUGCAGAUUGGGUGAGUUAUUGGAUGGAUAUAUAUGCAUAGUAUAAUUAAAAAAAAGUGUUCUUCGAUGGAAUGAUAUAAUGUAUAGAAUAUGCUUGGAUGGAUAUAUGGGCAGGCGUAGUAUGCUUAAAUCGAUUCUUGCUUCCAUGAUGUGAGAUAAGGCUUAAAAUGAUUUAAAAAGUUAGCAUAUGGCUUCUAUCUUUAUGUUGGCUCUGAGUGUCUCGUAAUGAAGAACCUAAAGUUAUUAGUCCUUCGAUGAACGCUUAAUCUUAGAAGAGUAUAGAACCUGAAUAAAUCUAUUGCUUGCUGUUUGGGACUACAUGACCAGUUUUGGUUAUGCAGCUAGUUCAAUGAAUUAAACCAUGUUUUCUGUAGAGGUGUUGUAUAUAAAAGUUGUAGCCAACUUCUUCAUCUUACUUGUGUAAAAUUUCAUGACCAUAGGUCUAGUAGUUUGGGAGUUAUGAUUUUCUCAAGUCUAGUCUUGGAAUCUGUCCAGAUUCUGUACAGAUUUUGAAACUGACCUUGUUUGCCCAAGUUAAACUUUGAAUCAGUUCUUAUAAAUUAUAAAGAAAUGGAGUACUUUCCUUAAGAUUUCCAACAAAUAUUGGAUCACCCUUUUUGGUGACCUAUAAGUUAAGCUACAGCUGUUUUAAGUGGAAUCUUUGAAUCUGUCCAAAUUUGGACAGCAAAGCCUUUCUUAUGUCUUUUGACCUUGAUAUGCAUUGAAUUAACCUGAUAUGUUUAUAAAUGAAAUAUAGACAAUUUUACUGGCUUUCAAAAAAGUCUAGGAGCGCCUAAAUUGGAUGACUGAGACUCCAAUUAUGGAUUUUUUUAAGUGAGUAGUUGAAUUCUGUCCAAGUCUGGACAAAAUUUACGUUUCGCAUUGUUUGUCCUUUCUAAGUGUCAAAUCUUGUGGUGAUGAUAAUACCAAGGGUAUAGUGGACUUUGUAAGCUUUCCAUAAAGUCCUACUUUACUACUGUUGGAUGCAUAUUUUGUGAGUUUAUGAGCAAAACAAUUAACCGUUGUGCUGAUGUCUAGAAAUAUGCAAGCAUUAAAUUGAUCUUUUGAAGUUACUCUUGUUUGGAUAGGUUUGGUUUAGGCUAUUGGAGCACAGUAUGUAUUGCUUUCAUUAUAUAUAUUCAUUGAAGUACUUGCAUGUGUCAAUGUUGAUUUGGUGUCAGGAAAACUUUGUCCGGGUUAUAUAGGACUGUCUAUUAUCUUAGCCCGAGUUGGAAGCUUGGCUUAGCACAUGCAAUUGUCGGAGUCUAUGAUCAGAGUACGCCAUGUAUUCCAUGUCUCUAUGUUGAGAAAGUAUUUGCGGAAUCCAUAUCAAUAAUCGAGCUAGAGUCGAUUCCCAUGUAGCAAGACCUGACUCUAGAGUGUCGUCUGCUGCGUAUCCUAGAAUCCUUGAAGCUCGAGGAGCUGAUGCGGCAGAAGUACCCCGAACUUUUCGUUAUGGGGUGAGUUUUUGUUGUCGCUGAUCUUUCCUUGUCAUUUCGAUAGAAGCGUCGGAAUUCGAGGUCGAAUUCUUUUUAAGGGGGGUAGAGUGUGAUACCCGGUUUGCAAAGAAGAGAAGUUGAAGGUUAUUCUUUUUGUUUGUUUCUUCUCUUAUUCGGGUGUCGCGCUUUGGGGAUUUAGAAUUUGUGGAAAACAUUCACCAGUAUAGCAGUAGAGUGGUUGGUCGGGAGCUGUCGUGCAAGCGAGUUGGGCCGCGAAUUGCAAUCCGGCCCACUAACCCUCCCCUAACCCUAGCCCCCCCCUUUUUCCCCCUUGGGUUGUUGCAGCCGCCCCUUCCCCUCCCCUUUCUCUUGGACGCCCCCCCCCUCUCCCAUCUUCUUCCUCCUCAAACCUUUGCAGCCCUCACCACCCAAAACCCUAGCUGCCCCCCCCCCCAUUUCUCCCCCUCCUCCCAAGGUGCAGCCCUCCCGUGUGGUUCUCCGUCGUGUGGCUGCGAUCUCAAUUGGAGUUUGGAGGGAGGAAGAAGGAAGGAGGAAGGGAAGAACCUAAGGUGAAUUUGUGAUUAACUUUUGUUGUUUUUGUGCUGCAAUCAAUUGGAUUAUGUGUUUAUCUUUGCGAAUCGGUAGAGGUGCUGUCCAGGAAUUUUGUGAGUGGGUGAACAGCAGUAGUUCUAGGGAUUUCUGGGAAUUUUCGUGGGGUAAUUAGUGGGAAUCAGUGGGAUAAUCAUGUAGAGCUUUGUCAUACCUUUCCGACGAGUACUUAUGCGCUCGAUUCGGAGUUAUAAUUUAGGAGAUAUCGUUGUUUGAAUCCGGGUAUGUUGCUGUCCAAAAAAAACAGAUUUUUCAGGUGGGUGAACAGCAGUAGUAUUAGCAGUUUCUGGGAAUUUUUCGUGGGUAAUUAGUAUUAACCAGUAUUAUAAUCAUGUAGGGCUUUGUCUUAUCUUUCCAAUGAGUACUUAUGUGCUUGAUUUGGAAUUAUAUUUUAAAAGAUAUCGCUGUUUGAAUCCGGGUAUGUUGCUGUAAAAAAACAGAUUUUUCAGGUGGGUGAACAGCAGUAGUAUUAGCAAUUUCUGGGAAUUUUUCGUGGUUAAUUAGUGCUAACCAGUAUGAUAAUCAUGUAUGGCUUUGUCUUAUCUUUCCAAUGAGUACUUAUGCGCUUGAAUUGGAAUUAUAUUUUAAAAGAUAUCGUUGUUUGAAUCCGGGUAUGUCGCUGUCCAAAAGAGAAAAAAACAGAUUACAUGGUUCAUCUUGUGAACUGUUUUGGGCUAAUUAGAUGUUGGAAUUUAAUUAUAAAUUGUAUACAAAACUUGUGGGAAAUUUUAUGUAGAUGCCUCGGGAGUUUUUGUUUGUUACCAAUGCUGUCAUAAUUUUGAAGUUAUGAAAUUAUUAAGCAGCGCCGCUGCAGUUUGGUGGGUGUGGGGAGAGAUGUAACCCGCGGCGGGGUUUGAGUUUGUGCGUAGGUGCGGCGUCGUUUAUGAGCCUGGUUAUGUGAAAUUGGUGCACUAAGUUGUGUGUCAAAAACAGGUGGUGGACUACCGGAUCGUACUUAGGGAUUUGCCCAAACUUCCGGUAAAGGCAAGUAAAUACAGUGGUGGUUGCUACCGUUUGGUUUGCAUCCUAUUCCCUGUCAUUGAGUAUGCAUAAGUUUUAAAUAUGUUAAUCAUUGAAUUCUAUGAUGAAGUUUAUUUGUUCGAAAGUAUUAAUUCUCAAUUGUCUAAUAUUGUGGAUGAUCAUGAUUUGGUAAUGAUAUAUGUGGUUGAUUCCUAUCAUGGAUGGAGUUGAAGUAUUUUUUUUGAAUCACGUUAUAUGAAGUGUUGUAAGCAUGUCAUGCACAUUGCAUCAUCCAUCUUGCAUUCUGAAGUUAUGUCGUGAUCUUAUGGUCCGACUGUACCGGUACAUUUUUAGCAUCGUACGUUGCCCAAGGAGGGGUACGAUGCGGCUUUAUAUCCUUAGAGGUAUGAAGGCAGAAGUCAUCCUUGCAUUUGCAGACAUUUGCACUCAUGAGGUAUAUAUAUGAAGAGUGAUAUUACUAUGUUACUAUUGUGGUUUCUACCUGCGAGGUGUGGUAGCUAGGAGUGUUGUACGUUGUAUACGUGCUGCACCUUUGUAAUAAGAAGGUUGUGAAAUCAAGUGGUGGUAAAACAAUAUUCUUAUGUGGUUAAACAAUUUGAUAUUAUUUUACUUGCUAAGAUGUGUCAUCUCACUCUUGCAUUACUCAAUGCAGGUACUUGAUACAUGUUGGGAAUGAGGGGAGUAGCAGCACGUCCACUUUCACUCUCAUAAUAGCGCUGCCCAGGCGUAGCCAUGAUUUAAUUAGAAACUUGUUGUCAAAAGAAGUUUAUUUUUUUGCUAGUCAUGCGCACUGGUUAAUUCAGUUCAUGUCGUAUGUUUAACUUCCCUUUGCUAGCCGAUUAAUAAUACUUGGUAUGUUUUUGUCAUGAUAUAUGUUUAUACACUGUUGUCCCCCCCCUCAUUUAUGCAAUUUUGCAAAGGAGAUGCUGCCAA